Molecule: small RNA, 306 nt
Filed under: Arabidopsis thaliana (thale cress)
Lineage: Eukaryota; Viridiplantae; Streptophyta; Magnoliopsida; Brassicales; Brassicaceae
Description: ATSL097350
Source: RNAcentral
AAACCCAUAGGUCUUGAAGAUAAACUAAAAUUGGCAUCUUCACUAUCCAUAUUUAGAUCAAUUGAAUUCAUACCAGGGGAAGGUGAUGACUCGGUAUUGAUUAAAAAUGAUGAAGAUGACGUAACAUCACGACCUUAUCCUUGGAAUGCAGCGGGUGUCAUCAUGUUAUCAUUAGCAAAUUUCUCAAUACCUUUAAGAAUAGGCCAUACAUGAUCAAAUUUGAAUCCUCUCUUGUAUUUUUCAUAUUGAGUUAAUAACAUCUUUGCUUGGUUUAACUAAUUACAUAUUGAUAAGAAACAAAUAAAA